UACGAAGGGGGCUAGCGUUGCUCGGAAUCACUGGGCGUAAAGCGCACGUAGGCGGUUUCUUAAGUCAGGGGUGAAAUCCUGGAGCUCAACUCCAGAACUGCCUUUGAUACUGGGAGACUUUGAGUCCGGGAGAGGUGAGUGGAACUGCGAGUGUAGAGGUGAAAUUCGUAGAUAUUCGCAAGAACACCAGUGGCGAAGGCGGCUCACUGGCCCGGUACUGACGCUGAGGUGCGAAAGCGUGGGGAGCAAACAGG
RNAcentral lists this ribosomal RNA (254 nucleotides) under uncultured bacterium. Its description in RNAcentral is "partial 16S ribosomal RNA". It matches the Rfam family "Bacterial small subunit ribosomal RNA", at positions 524 to 776 of the family's 1533-position model. The record is from RNAcentral.